RNAcentral lists this small nucleolar RNA (199 nucleotides) under Exophiala oligosperma. The record is from RNAcentral. Lineage: Eukaryota; Fungi; Ascomycota; Eurotiomycetes; Chaetothyriales; Herpotrichiellaceae.
AAGUCUCUUGCCUCGCUCGGUCAAACACAUUUCAAUUGAUUGAUCUUGAGCUGGAUGCCGGCCAUUCCUGCAAGCUGCGGAGUAAGGGUCGAGUUACGAGACGAAAGCGAUCUUUUUAGCAAAGACGUUGCUGAUCUUUGAGUACGAUGUCGUCUUCCUUUUUGCAUGAUGGAUCAUUGUAAUUUAUACAGCAAGACAU